Molecule: non-coding RNA, 58 nt
Filed under: Karenia brevis
Lineage: Eukaryota; Dinophyceae; Gymnodiniales; Kareniaceae
Source: RNAcentral
GCCGCAACAAUGAGGCAUGAGCCACCUGGAGGAUCUUAACUUGAAUACCUAUGGAAAG